GGAAGGGGCGGGUCAGCGGGCGGGCAUUUCCUGCCGGUGCCUAGGGCCGAAGGGGACGCUGGCACUGGUGGGGAGCUGUUGGGGGGUCCCGCAUCUAGGGCUCUCCUUUCCUGCCUCCGGCCCCCGCGAGGGGCGCGCGCCUCUCCCCGCCCUCCAGCAGUCCUGGUAGGGCCCGGGCGCGUCCGCGCUGUGCAGCGGGAGGUCCUCGUCGCUCCUCGUCUCCAGCCAGGUACUCACUGGGCUCCUGCCUGCCGCCUCCGGCCCAGGACGCGCAGCGUCGGUAUGGGCCCCGCCGCCUCCCCGCACACCGGCGCUCCAGAGAUGUGGCAAGACCCGGCUUUGAGCACCUGCCGGGCGCCGGCCCUGAGGCCGACCUAGCUCCGCACGCGGGCCGCGGGGCUCUGCCGUUGAAAAGGGGAGCCUCUAACUAGGAGCACGCACGGGACCCUGGCGGGCCCCUCCGCCUGGCUCAGAUGCCUGGCAUCUCAGGCCUUGGCACAGCUGGCAGGCCGCGAACCCAGCAGGCUGUUUUAGUGCAGAUUGCCCCUGAAUCUCAAGCCCACUAAUGUUCCAGUCUCUCCAUGAGACCCAGAUCCCUGAAAGUAGUGGACGGAGGCGCCAGGGUGAGUGAGGUUUUCUAGGCAGCCCUUACCGCCCACGGAUACCCAGAGCUUCAUAUUACAAGUGAAGGGUCCUCCGCCCAGAGAGGCGACGGAGCUGCGCUGGAGUUGCACGACAGAACCAGAACCCCAGUCUUCAGGGGUGUGGCAAGCGUGGGUUGCGCUGUUUGUAACUAGCUAAUCACUCCUGUCUACAGGCCUGUGAGGUGAGGCCAAGAAAAUCGCUAUGGUCCAAUCCGUUUUUGGUUUUUGCGUGUGGGGUUUUUUGUUUUGGUUUGGUUUGGUUUUUUUGUUUGUUUUGAGACGGAGUCUUGUUCUGUCGCCAGGCAGGAGUGCACUGGCGCGACCUUUGCUCACUGCAACUUCUGUCUCCUGCGUUCAGGCAAUUCCCCUCCCUCAGCCUCAUGAGUAGCUAGGACUACAGGCACGUGCCACCACGCCCAGCUAAUUUUUUGUAUUUUGGUAGGGACAGGGUUUCACCAUGUUGGCCAGGAUGGUCUCAAUCUCCUGACCUCGUGAUCCGCCCGCCUCGGCCUCCCAAAGUGCUGGGAUUACAGGCGUGAGCCACCGCGCCCGGCCAGUCCACUCUGUUUUUAACAAAUAUUUUAUUUCUGAGGGUGGGCAGCGUGUAGAGAAGUGAGUCAUUCCAGUCUCUGCCAGUUAGCACCUGCCAGCCUAAGUUGAGUCGACAGAGCCAUUAUGGAGAAUGUUCCCUGACCACAGUAUGUGACUAGGAUUUGGAGAUAAAAAAGAUAUGAUCCUCACCUUCAGGAGCCCCUGUCGCAUAAGGAGACUGCCAUGUCAGUGACCAGCCACACGUGCAGUGACAAGUGUCUGGAAGAAGGAACAGUGCUAUACAGCACGGAGGACCCCCACACAGGCCCUGGACAGCAGGCGUCAGCACCAAGAGGAUGGUGGCCCUCAGCCUCCUGGUGCAGAGCAUCAGUCCCACGCUGGGAGUGUGGAGAGGUGCGUGGGAAGCAAGGCAUUGAGGAAGUGGGGCCAACAGAGAGGUCAGCAGCCCCUUAGCCCUCACGCUUCCAAGGAACAGAACGAUGGAGAAGCCUGCAGGCAGAAAAAAGAAGACGCCGACCCCGAGGGAGGAGGCAGACGUGCAGAAGAGCGCGCUCAGAGAGGAGAAGGUGUCUGGGGACAGAAAGCCACCUGAGUGGCCCACUGUGCCCAGGAAGCCCCGCACAGAGCCCUGCCUGAGUCCUGAGGACGAAGAGCACGUCUUUGAUGCCUUCGACGCUUCAUUUAAAGAUGACUUCGAGGGGGUUCCCGUGUUCAUUCCUUUUCAGAGGAAGAAACCCUAUGAGUGCAGUGAGUGUGGGCGGAUCUUUAAGCACAAGACAGACCACAUUCGCCAUCAGAGGGUCCACACUGGAGAGAAGCCCUUCAAGUGUGCGCAGUGCGGGAAGGCCUUCCGGCACAGCUCUGACGUCACCAAACACCAGAGGACUCACACGGGAGAGAAGCCCUUCAAAUGCGGGGAGUGUGGGAAAGCCUUUAACUGCGGCUCCAAUCUCCUGAAACAUCAGAAGACGCACACCGGGGAGAAGCCCUACGAAUGCACGGACUGUGGGAAAGCCUUUGCCUACAGCUCCUGUCUCAUCCGCCAUCGGAAACGCCACCCUCGGAAGAAGCCCUGAGCCGGGGCCAUCUGCGGACUCGGGCCCUGCAGUGCAAGCCUCGCCGGAUACCUGCUCCGUGGCUCCCUCGUGUUCAGCGUCUGAUGGGGGCACAGGGCCGUGUGCACUGUGUUCCGUGCCCUGGGGACCCCCGGAAAAUCAGCCCAGUCAGAUGUGGGAACGUGCCAACGAGUGAGAGACCUUUCCACUGCAGAGAAUCUUUGAUCAAGACACUGCAGUGACGUAGAAGCCACCAGAGGCUCCUUGCAGCCGCAGAGCAUUUUCCAAGUUCCCGAUGGCGAACGGGGCUCAGCACCAGAGACCAGGGGGUAUUCACUGCCAUCCAUUGGACGUGUUUGGGUCACCUCAGAGCACCCAGCAGGAGAGGCUUCUGGUGUGGGCAGCCCAGCACUUCCCACUGCCCCCUGCCUGUGAUGUCCACUCUGCUUAAGCCUUUCAUCUGCCGCUGAAGGCCCCAGUCUGGACUCUCUGCCCUCUGGGUCCCCGAGCUCUGCAGCGAGCCCUGGGACCAUUCAUCCCUGCCCAGCCAGCUUCAGUGCCCGGGGCCGCUUGUCCCUGCCCGGCCUCUGUGCCCCAACUGUGCUUGGUCCUCUGGCUUCUCUCCUCCUGCUGGAGCGCCAGUCCCUGAGCUCAGACCCCCGUCCCCGGAACUGGGCCACACCACGUGCCCUCUUGGCCCAGCCUUCCUCCCAGAGAGGCGGCCCGACUUACCUGGAUGGACUUGAGACAAAGAUUCCUCAGGACCUUGGACACCACCACCUGCUGAGCUUCCUGCACCAGCCACGCGGUGGGGCCCCUGGGGUGCCCUCGGCAGCUUCAGUCCAGCCUGCAUCUGCCCCUCGGCUUUCCGACGUGGGCGGUGGGCCCCAGCCCCACACACCAGCCCGGCAUUCAGGCUGGUAGAGCAGAUCACCCCCAAAGCAAGAAGUUCCAGAUGAAAUAUGCAUAAGAAGCAACCUCAAAACUAACAAAAAAGAUUCGCACAUUCCUCAGUUAGAGGAGGAGCAGAGAUGAAGAAAAGGAGAAGAAAAGCGCUGGAAAGAGAAGAAAAGGAACCUCCUUCUGUGCAGCAGGCUCCUGGCCCAGGGAGUGCGGUGUGCGGCAGAGUGCGUGCAGGGAAGCUGUGAAGUCGUGCAGGGAAGCACCCUGUGAAGUCGUGUAGGGAAGCACCCUGUGAAAUCGUGCAGGGAAGCACCCUCUGAAAUCGUGCAGGGAAGCACCUUCUGAAAUCGUGCAGGGAAGCACCCUGUGAAGUCGUGCAGGGAAGCACCCUGUGAAGUCGUGCAGGGAAGCACCCUCUGAAAUCGUGCAGGGAAGCACCCUCUGAAGUCGUGCAGGGAAGCACCCUCUGAAGUCGUGCAGGGAAGCACCCUCUGAAGUCGUGCAGGGAAGCACCCUCUGAAGUGCAGGGAAGCACCCUCUGAAGUCGUGCAGGGAAGCACCUUCUGAAAUCGUGCAGGGAAGCACCCUGUGAAAUCGUGCAGGGAAGCACCCUCUGAAGUCGUGCGGGGAAGCACCCUGUGAAAUCCUGCGGGGAAGCACCCUGUGAAAUCCUGCAGGGAAGCACCCUGUGAAUUCGUGCAGGGAAGCACCCUGUGAAAUCCUGCAGGGAAGCACCCUGUGAAGUCGUGCAGGGAAGCACCUUCUGAAAUUGUGCAGGGAAGCACCCUGUGAAAUCGUGCAGGGAAGCACCCUGUGAAAUCGUGCAGGGAAGCACCCUGUGAAGUCGUGCAGGGAAGCACCCUGUGAAGUCGUGCAGGGAAGCACCUUCUGAAAUUGUGCAGGGAAGCACCCUCUGAAAUUGUGCAGGGAAGCACCCUCUGAAAUGCCUAGAAAUAGCUGCCGGGCUUUCACUUGGUUCCCAAAUUUCUUCAAAGGUCAAAACCAUCACAGUGGGCAACUUUACACCAGUGACCCCAGUGUUCACUGUCCUGAGGCCACUGCAGAGCCAUCCUAGUGGGGCAGUGGGCGCAGGGCGGGGACUCCUGACUCCGGUGAGGUCACCCUGGAGGGGAGUCCCAGGAAUCAGCCUGAUGUUCAGAAUGCCUUCCUGGCAUCUCAGAAGUGUACCGGGGGAGACGUGAGGACCUUUCAGCCAAGUGUCAGCGUUCUUAUUGCAGGAGAACAUUAAAGCCACAACCCAGAAACUUCUCAGGAGCAUGGCGCACCCACACCAGCCCCGGGCUUCGCCUGGACAGCACCUCCUGGGCCUCCCUGACCAGCAGACACCAUCCUUCCAGCCUCUCUUGGCCACCCGGACCAGCAGGCACCACCCUCCCAGCCUCACGUGGCCACCCUGACCAGCAGGCACCAUCCUUCCAGCCUUGCUCAGUCACCCUGACCCAGAGGGCUGCCCUGACCAGCGGGCACCAUCCUCCCAGCCCCACUUGGCCAGCCGAGCUCUGUAGGCCUCAGAGUGCAGAGAAUCUUGAAUGUUGUGACUUUGCUCUGCUGCAGGGACCUGCCAUGGAGUGUCCCUUGUGCGAGCAUUUUGAGAGCUAUGCCAGCAUCCGUCCCCGCAGGCCCCAUCCCUGAGCCAUUUCUCAGGAGAGCAGGAAGGGAGCAGGGAGAGGGGCGCUCCCAGCCAGCCCCGGAACCAGAGGUCUGGGGACGCAGCCGGCCAGCCCUCGUUGUCUGGGCUUCUGUUUCCUCUUCGACACAGGGAAGCAGGGAGGGGCCGAUCAGCGACUUAGGCCUGUUGGCUGUGGUAGGGUCCACCUGCGUUUCUGGGGAGCCCACGGACCCUGGGGUGUACCUGGGUUUCAUUCCCAGUGAUCUCUCUUAUUGGUCCCCAUUUGGGGCGCUGAGAUGUGAUCGUUUCUUUCCUGUGAAUGAGCUGAGGUAAAAACAUGCUGGGGAGGAAGAUGGGCCCUGGGGGCAGCGAGCUGCGCCUCUGCACCGGGAGAAAGGCCGUGUCCCCAGAGCUGAGGCGGUGGUGGGCAGGGCUCCUGUGAAGCCGGGGCAAGGCAGGGUGUCUCUGAGGUCAGUGAGGAACAGCUGAGGUCCAGGGACGCGGGAAGGAUGGAGUGAACUCCGGGAUGGGGCCGGCAGGGAGCCUCAUGCUUACAGAGCCUGGUGUCAGCACUCUCCUGGUUUCCUCCGCAAACCUAGCCACGUGGUCAGGGAGCCCGGGCCUAGCAGACGGCCCCCACCUUGACAGAAUCCCCAGGGUCGUGCGUGGUGGUGGGGGUGACUUCACAGCCGAGACCGGGCCUAACGCUGCUGUCCCGCAGUCACCCCUGCAGGCGGCUCAGGGCAGGGCUCCGGCCUGACGGGGGUUCCUGCACACGCCUCUGAGCCGGCAGCCCCUACCCGCACCCCUGCACCUUCCACGCCCGUCUCCGGCAGCCCCUACCUGCACCCCUGCACCUUCCACACCCGUCUCCAGCAGCCCCUACCCGCACCCCUGCACCUGCCACGCCCGUCUCCGGCAGCCCCUACCUGCACCCCUGCACCUUCCACACCCGUCUCCAGCAGCCCCUACCCGCACCCCUGCACCUGCCACACCCGUCUCUGGCAGCCCCUGCCCGCACCCGCACCCCUGCACCUCCCACGCCCGUCUCCGGCAGCCCCUGCCCGCACCCACACCCCUGCACCUCCCACGCCCGUCUCCGGCAGCCCCUGCCCGCGCCCGCACCUCUGCACCUCCCAAGCCCCUCUCUGGCAGUCCCUACCCGCACCCGCACCCCUGCACCUGCCACGCCCGUCUCCCGCAGCCCCUGCCCGCGCCCGCACUCCUGCACCUCCCACGCCCAUCUCCGGCAGUCCCUACCCGAACCCGCAACCCUGCACCUCCCACGCCCGUCUCUGGCAGCCCCUGCCCGCACCCGCACCCCUGCACCUCCCACGCCCGUUUCCGGCAGCCCCUGCCCGCACCCGCACCCCUGCACCUCCCACGGACGUCUCCAGCAGCCCCUGCCCACACCCGCACCUCUGCACCUCCCACGCCUGUCUCCGGCAGCCCCUGCCCGCACCCGCACCCCUGCACCUCCCACGGACGUCUCCAGCAGCCCCUGCCCGCACCCGCACCCCUGCACCUCCCACGGACGUCUCCAGCAGCCCCUGCCCGCACCCGCACCCCUGCACCUCCCACGCCCGUCUCCGGCAGCCCCUGCCCGCACCCGCACCCCUGCACCUCCCACGGACGUCUCCAGCAGCCCCUGCCCGCACCCGCACCCCUGCACCUCCCACGCCCGUCUCUGGCAGCCCCUGCCCGCACCCGCGCCCCUGCACCUCCCACGCCCGUCUCCGGCAGCCCCUGCCUGCAUCCGCACCCCUGCACCUGCCACGCCCGUCUCCGGCGGCCCCUGCCUGCACCCGCACCCCUCACGGCUGUCUCCGGCAGCCCCUGCCCACGCCCGCACCUCUGCACCUCCCACGCCCCUCUCCGGCAGUCCCUACCCGCACCCGCACCUCCCACGCCUGUCUCCGACAGCCCCUGCCCACACCCGCACCCCUGCACCUCCCACGCCCGUCUCCGGCAGCCCCUGUCCGCACCCACACCCCUCACGGCUGUCUCCGGCAGCCCCUGCCCGUGCCCGCACGUCUGCACCUCCCACGCCCCUCUCCGGCAGUCCCUACCCGGACCCGUACCCCUGCACCUCCCACGCCCGUCUCUGGCAGCCCCUACCCGCACCCGCGCCCCUGCACCUCCCACGCCCAUCUCCGGCAGCCCCUGCCCACAACCGCACCCGCACCGCUGCACCUCCCACGCCCGUCUGCGGCAGCCCCUGCCCGCACCCACGUCCCUGCACCUCCCACGCCCGUCUCCGGCAGCCCCUGCCCGCACCCGCACCCCUGCACCUCCCACGCCCGUCUCCGGCAGCCCCUGCCCGCACCCGCACCCCUGCACCUCCCACGCCCGUCUCCGGCAGCCCCUGCCCGCACCCGCACCCCUGCACCUCCCACGCCCGUCUCCGGCAGCCCCUGCCCGCACCCGCACCCCUGCACCUCCCACGCCCGUCUUGCCCUGGGGCCCAGGUGCAGGUCUGUGAGGAGGGCAGCCCCGUGCUCCCAUGGCCACCGCUCAGCCAAGUGGAUUCAGCGAGGGUUUUCAGUGUUUGCGCCUGUGUCCCCAUGUGCCUGUUUCCUGGUGAGGCUGGACGCCUGGCAUGUCUGAACACUCACAUUCCCCAGGCAUGCAUGUGCAGCUGCCGCCGCCACCCAUGUACUGUGGCGCUGACCCCUCCUGUAACAGCUGUGAUCUUGGCCUCUCGUGUUGGUGGCAGAUGUCCCAUUUCCCCAUUACUUUCUGUUGUCCAAAAGUUUAACUGUCCUGCCAGCCAAAGCUGCUGAGCAUUACUCUGAUAGACCAUCAGUCCUUGGUAAGUGUCCUGUGCAUCUGGGAUAAGCAUCCGUUUAUUUUCAGCUGCGCUUUCUGUGACUUGCUCUGCGUGUGUCCUCGGUCCACGUGGGCCGUUGCGCUGGUUCCCAGCCUGCCCGACACACUCACUGCGACGCCUCCCUUGCCUACUGCUUGCUGGCUUCUGUGUUCUCUGCAGUAAACAUUGAUUUCUGA
RNA transcript from Gorilla gorilla gorilla (western lowland gorilla), 7790 nucleotides. It is a transcript of the gene named ZFP41 zinc finger protein, with no coding region annotated. Lineage: Eukaryota; Metazoa; Chordata; Mammalia; Primates; Hominidae. The transcript has 3 exons. The record is from RefSeq and is a predicted model, not a curated record.